This is a long non-coding RNA of Corapipo altera (White-ruffed manakin), 844 nucleotides long. RefSeq lists it as uncharacterized. The transcript has 6 exons. Lineage: Eukaryota; Metazoa; Chordata; Aves; Passeriformes; Pipridae. The record is from RefSeq and is a predicted model, not a curated record.
AAAAAGAGGAGGGAAAAAGAAAGAACAGAAAGUAGAACAUGUGAAGGAAAAGGGCAGCAAAGAAAGAGGAAAUUCAGAGAAAGGAGAAACAAGUGCUGGAAGUAAAGGAGUAGAUGGUGGGGGAGGAGGCAGCACAAAGAGAUCUGAUGUACAGGGCUUUUAGUCCACUCUAAAAUGGAUCUUAGACUAUCUCAAGCUGUGCGCUGCAGAGAGUAGUUUUGAACUGAGAGGAAGAGCGAUGAACAUGUAUCAGAAGAGAAAAUCAGCUGCUGCUUGGGAAGCAACUGGGAAGUUUGCUCCUUCCUCACAAGACUGAGGGUAUAAUUAGAACCACGCACCUGCUCAGUCCUCCGGUGACUCAAGCCUGGAAUCUCCUGUGUUAGAACACUUCGCUGCUCCCAGAAGGCCCUGUAAGAUCCCAGGGAGGCAGCAGCCAACAGAGGAUAUUCACUAAAGACCAAGCAGCAGAGCAGCACUUUGGUAUUCCCUGAAGACAUCAAAAAUGAGAGGAAAUGUCCACUAAGAAUAAGUCUCCCGUGAAAUGUUACAUGUACUCGGCAAACUCCUGAACCCACUGCUGCCACGGAAAACUCUCACUGAUGGGUAGCUCCGAGAACUCACCCUCCAAUUAUGUACCACAGAGCUAUGGAUGUGUUUUUAUUGAGGAGAAUAAAAACCACAAGAAGUGCUCUACAACAGACCACAAAAUGGGUUUGGCACCUGUGUCUGCCCGGAGCCGAAGUUUCGGAGUUGUGUUAUCACGUGGCCCGCUGACCCCAGGAGAGCAGGGCUGACCUUGUCUUACACACAGAAGUCUAUUGCUAUGACUCCCCUGAGAGCACAA